Molecule: ribosomal RNA, 360 nt
Filed under: Pisinna albizona
Lineage: Eukaryota; Metazoa; Mollusca; Gastropoda; Littorinimorpha; Anabathridae
Description: partial 12S ribosomal RNA
Source: RNAcentral
UUUAAAAAGUUAAUAUAAAAUACCAGGGGACUAUGAAUAAUAAUUUAAAACUCAAAGGACUUGGCGGUAUUUUAGACUAAUCAGGGGAGCUUGUCUUAUAAUCGAUGAUCCACGAUGGACCUAGCCUUAAAAUAAGAAGUAUGUAUAUCGUUGUUUGCAGUUAACUUUUUAGAAUUUAGAAGUUAGUAAUUAAAAAGAUUUAUUUUUAAAUUCAGAUCAAGGUGCAGCUUAUGUUAAGGAAGGGAUGAGCUACAAUUAAUAUUUAUAAUUACGGAAUUUAUGAUUAAAAUGUUUAUGAAGGAGGACUUGAAAGUAAAUAAAUAAAUAGACAGAUUUGUUGAAUAUAGCUCUGAAAUGUGU